This is a long non-coding RNA of Papaver somniferum (opium poppy), 874 nucleotides long. RefSeq lists it as uncharacterized. The record is from RefSeq and is a predicted model, not a curated record. The transcript is spliced from 2 exons. NCBI's taxonomy places the organism in Eukaryota, Viridiplantae, Streptophyta, Magnoliopsida, Ranunculales, Papaveraceae.
CCAAAAGUGCAACAAUUUUCAAAGUUUGGCUGACAUUUUCAUAUUAUAUCAUGAGCGGAACCUGAAAUUUUCUAGAUUUAGUAUGAAAAUUAUCAGGUUCGGCUGAUAAUUGAUUUUUCUAUGUUAGCAGAACCUGUCAUGUUGCAGACUUUUGCAUGAAAAUUAUCAGGUGUGGGUAUAUGACCAUUUUCCAGAAUUGAACUUGGUCACAAUGGAGAAAAAUUGGGCUAACACACUUCCUACUUCGGAUAAGUAUGAGUUCAGUAACACCAAGAGAGGUAAAAAAAUGAGUUGUUGAUAAAGUUAAGAGAGAUGUCAAACUCCUUGAAUGGCGAAGAUGUCGAAUUUGACCCGUACAAGAAGGAUGAAGCUUGUGAUGAAGAUUAAGAUAGCUAUUGAGAAUGUACUAUGAACCCUUUUUUUAUCCCGAUGGUUUGUAGUGUAUGAUCCUCAUCGAGUAAUCCUUCAAUUAGGAUGUAUCCAAAUGAUUAUGGUACCGAAUGAAGCAAAGUUCAAGUUGUUUCCAAAGGAUCCUAAGGGAACUAAUAGCACCUUGGGUUCCAUGAAUAGCGAAUAUAACCCGAAACUUACCCGUGAUCAUUUGAGGAACUGGAAAAGAACAAGUUGAGUGUUGUCGGCUUAGCCUUUUUGGGAAAUACUUGUACAUAAAAUUAAAAAACAUAAGAAGGAUGACAUCAACAGAGAUAAAUAAGCUAAUAAAAGCGUUAUAAUUAUUGCAAGAGAUGAAAGGUUGUUAUCCCAAUGCUUGGAUUGCUUAUAGAAUUUUUCUUACUGUACAUGUUACCAUUGCCUCUGCAGAAAGAGGUUUUCUAUAUUGAAAUUAAUAAAAUCAUAUCUUCGUUCUAGAAUGCUA